CCUACGGGAGGCAGCAGUGAGGAAUAUUGGUCAAUGGGCUUACGCCUGAACCAGCCAAGUCGCGUGAGGGAAGACUGCCCUAUGGGUUGUAAACUUCUUUUAUAAAGGAAUAAAGUGAGGCACGUGUGCCUUUUUGUAUGUACUUUAUGAAUAAGGAUCGGCUAACUCCGUGCCAGCAGCCGCGGUAAUACGGAGGAUCCGAGCGUUAUCCGGAUUUAUUGGGUUUAAAGGGAGCGUAGAUGGGUUGUUAAGUCAGUUGUGAAAGUUUGCGGCUCAACCGUAAAAUUGCAAUUGAUACUGGCAGUCGUGAGUACAGAUGAGGUAGGCGGAAUUCGUGGUGUAGCGGUGAAAUGCUUAGAUAUCACGAAGAACUCCGAUUGCGAAGGCAGCUUACUAAACUGCCACUGACAUUGAUGCUCGAAAGUGUGGGUAUCAAACAGGAUUAGAUACCCUUGUAGUC
This 460-nucleotide ribosomal RNA is filed under the name uncultured bacterium. RNAcentral's name for it is "partial 16S ribosomal RNA". It matches the Rfam family "Bacterial small subunit ribosomal RNA", at positions 338 to 795 of the family's 1533-position model. The record is from RNAcentral.